Cimex lectularius (bed bug) is the source of this 844-nucleotide long non-coding RNA. RefSeq lists it as uncharacterized. The transcript has 3 exons. The record is from RefSeq and is a predicted model, not a curated record. Lineage: Eukaryota; Metazoa; Arthropoda; Insecta; Hemiptera; Cimicidae.
AGUCGCUGGAUUCGAACUCGAGACCUUUACCUGACAGUGAUGAGCGCCGUGUCAACGCUUAAACGGCCACCGACGCAUGUGAGAAAGCAUCUACCCAACAUAGGUCAACUGGCUGGGAAUGGUGAUCAAAAAGCCUUCUCUGUAACACAUCCCACAUAUGCUCAAUGGGAUUGAGGUCUGGAGGCAAUGGGGGAAGGGGUUGGAUUGGAAAUUCCCAGGAUUAAAAAACAUUGAUGAACAUCUCUGCCUCUCUGAGGCCUGGCAUUGUAAUCCAGAAAUCGAAAAUACAUGUCUAUGAGAUCCCUGGUUUGAGGGAUGUAUUUCACCAUAAUUUCUUAGACAUAUGGACUGAAAUGAGGUUGCCUUCAACAUUAUGAAGUCCAGUUUGUCUUCCAGUGUAAAUCCCAGCCCAAACCAUUACACCGUCUCCACCAAACUGCACUGAAGGGAGCAUGAAAUGGGGCAUUGCAUGGGGCAUCCCCUAUUCUCGGUAGACUAUUUGGCACCUGCUAUCACUAUGCAGACAGAAACGUGACUCAUCAGUAAACAUAACAGGCUUACAAAGUGCUCGUUGCACUAUAUUUUCUUGAAUCGAUGAUGACAGGCUGUUGCUGCAGGUCAUCUCAAAGGGGCAUACAAUUCAUAAUGCUGAGAUCCACUACCAGGCCUCCUAUCGGCACUUCCAGUCUCUCGGAAUUGGGCUAAAGGUCGGGAAACCACACUCUAAGAGACGCCAACUGUCUCUGUAAUAUCCACUUACCUGUGACCUUGAUGACUCAUUCUCACAAUAAUAUUGGAUACUUCUGGUUCAAGAUGAUGUCUUUCCAAAGAGAAUACAACUGGA